UACACACCGCCCGUCACACCACGAAAGUCGGCCGGACCAGAGGUCGCUGAGCUAACCGUAAGGAGGCAAGCGCCUAAGGUAAUGUCGAUGAUUGGGGUG
This 99-nucleotide ribosomal RNA is filed under the name uncultured bacterium. RNAcentral's name for it is "partial 16S ribosomal RNA". It matches the Rfam family "Bacterial small subunit ribosomal RNA", at positions 1384 to 1482 of the family's 1533-position model. The record is from RNAcentral.